This 167-nucleotide ribosomal RNA is filed under the name Artemisia adamsii. RNAcentral describes it as "5.8S ribosomal RNA". It matches the Rfam family "5.8S ribosomal RNA". From Rfam's summary of the family: 5.8S ribosomal RNA (5.8S rRNA) is a component of the large subunit of the eukaryotic ribosome. Lineage: Eukaryota; Viridiplantae; Streptophyta; Magnoliopsida; Asterales; Asteraceae. The record is from RNAcentral.
UCACAAACGACUCUCGGCAACGGAUAUCUCGGCUCACGCAUCGAUGAAGAACGUAGCAAAAUGCGAUACUUGGUGUGAAUUGCAGAAUCCCGUGAACCAUCGAGUUUUUGAACGCAAGUUGCGCCCGAAGCCUUUUGGCCAAGGGCACGUCUGCCUGGGCGUCACGC